ACUCUCGGCAACGGAUAUCUCGGCUCACGCAUCGAUGAAGAACGUAGCAAAAUGCGAUACUUGGUGUGAAUUGCAGAAUCCCGUGAACCAUCGAGUUUUUGAACGCAAGUUGCGCCCGAAGCCUUCUGGUCGAGGGCACGUCUGCCUGGGCGUCA
Molecule: ribosomal RNA, 155 nt
Filed under: Ligularia hodgsonii
Lineage: Eukaryota; Viridiplantae; Streptophyta; Magnoliopsida; Asterales; Asteraceae
Description: 5.8S ribosomal RNA
Rfam family: 5.8S ribosomal RNA
About the family: 5.8S ribosomal RNA (5.8S rRNA) is a component of the large subunit of the eukaryotic ribosome.
Source: RNAcentral